Paramuricea clavata is the source of this 73-nucleotide non-coding RNA. NCBI's taxonomy places the organism in Eukaryota, Metazoa, Cnidaria, Anthozoa, Malacalcyonacea, Plexauridae. The record is from the annotation of a GenBank genome assembly.
CUCUGCAUGUAGCUCAGUUGGUUAGAGUGCUGGACCGGAAUUGCAGAGCCACUGGUUCAAUUCCUGUCAGAGG